CCUUAGAGUUUGAUCCUGGCUCAGGACGAACGCUGGCGGCGCGCCUAACACAUGCAAGUCGAACGAGCGAGAGAGAGCUUGCUUUCUCGAGCGAGUGGCGAACGGGUGAGUAACGCGUGAGGAACCUGCCUCAAAGAGGGGGGACAACAGUUGGAAACGACUGCUAAUACCGCAUAAGCCCACGGCUCGGCAUCGAGCAGAGGGAAAAGGAGCAAUCCGCUUUGAGAUGGCCUCGCGUCCGAUUAGCUAGUUGGUGAGGUAACGGCCCACCAAGGCGACGAUCGGUAGCCGGACUGAGAGGUUGAACGGCCACAUUGGGACUGAGACACGGCCCAGACUCCUACGGGAGGCAGCAGUGGGGAAUAUUGCACAAUGGGGGAAACCCUGAUGCAGCGACGCCGCGUGGAGGAAGAAGGUCUUCGGAUUGUAAACUCCUGUUGUUGGGGAAGAUAAUGACGGUACCCAACAAGGAAGUGACGGCUAACUACGUGCCAGCAGCCGCGGUAAAACGUAGGUCACAAGCGUUGUCCGGAAUUACUGGGUGUAAAGGGAGCGCAGGCGGGAAGACAAGUUGGAAGUGAAAUCUAUGGGCUCAACCCAUAAACUGCUUUCAAAACUGUUUUUCUUGAGUAGUGCAGAGGUAGGCGGAAUUCCCGGUGUAGCGGUGGAAUGCGUAGAUAUCGGGAGGAACACCAGUGGCGAAGGCGGCCUACUGGGCACCAACUGACGCUGAGGCUCGAAAGUGUGGGUAGCAAACAGGAUUAGAUACCCUGGUAGUCCACACCGUAAACGAUGAUUACUAGGUGUCGGAGGAUUGACCCCUUCAGUGCCGCAGUUAACACAAUAAGUAAUCCACCUGGGGAGUACGACCGCAAGGUU
Molecule: ribosomal RNA, 879 nt
Filed under: uncultured bacterium
Lineage: Bacteria
Description: bacterial SSU rRNA
Rfam family: Bacterial small subunit ribosomal RNA
Source: RNAcentral